GAUGAACGCUGGCGGCGUGCCUAAUACAUGCAAGUCGAGCGAACAGACGAGGAGCUUACUCCUCUGACGUUAGCGGCGGACGGGUGAGUAACACGUGGAUAACCUACCUAUAAGACUGGGAUAACUUCGGGAAACCGGAGCUAAUACCGGAUAACAUGUUGAACCGCAUGGUUCAACAGUGAAAGACGGUCUUCUGUCACUUAUAGAUGGAUCCGCGUCGCAUUAGCUAGUUGGUAAGGUAACGGCUUACCAAGGCAACGAUGCGUAGCCGACCUGAGAGGGUGAUCAGCCACACUGGAACUGAGACACGGUCCAGACUCCUACGGGAGGCAGCAGUAGGGAAUCUUCCGCAAUGGGCGAAAGCCUGACGGAGCAACGCCGCGUGAGUGAAGAAGGUCUUCGGAUCGUAAAACUCUGUUAUUAGGGAAGAACAAAUGUGUAAGUAACUAUGCACGUCUUGACGGUACCUAAUCAGAAAGCCACGGCUAACUACGUG
Molecule: ribosomal RNA, 496 nt
Filed under: uncultured bacterium
Lineage: Bacteria
Description: partial 16S ribosomal RNA
Rfam family: Bacterial small subunit ribosomal RNA
Source: RNAcentral